UACAGAGGGUGCAAGCGUUAAUCGGAAUGACUGGGCGUAAAGGGUGCGUAGGUGGUUGCUUAAGUGAGAUGUGAAAUCCCCGGGCUUAACCUGGGAAUGGCAUUUGAUACUGAGCGACUAGAGUAUGGGAGAGGUAAGUGGAAUUUCCGGUGUAGCGGUGAAAUGCGUAGAUAUCGGAAGGAACACCAGUGGCGAAGGCGGCUUACUGGCCUAAUACUGACACUGAGGCACGAAAGCGUGGGGAGCAAACAGG
RNAcentral lists this ribosomal RNA (253 nucleotides) under uncultured bacterium. Its description in RNAcentral is "partial 16S ribosomal RNA". It matches the Rfam family "Bacterial small subunit ribosomal RNA", at positions 524 to 776 of the family's 1533-position model. The record is from RNAcentral.